This 333-nucleotide transfer-messenger RNA is filed under the name Candidatus Colwellbacteria bacterium RIFCSPLOWO2_02_FULL_45_11. It matches the Rfam family "transfer-messenger RNA". Rfam says of the family: Bacterial tmRNA, also known as 10Sa RNA or SsrA, is named for its dual tRNA and mRNA-like properties. Its role is to liberate the mRNA from a stalled ribosome. To accomplish this part of the tmRNA is used as a reading frame that ends in a translation stop signal. The record is from RNAcentral. Lineage: Bacteria; Candidatus Colwelliibacteriota. RNAcentral also lists the same sequence under 1 other name.
GGGGAUGAUCGGCCUUGACGGAGGUUGAUUAUAAAAGUCGCAAGCAGAGCCGGAUAACUCUUUAAACUUUCCACUGUUUACGUGCAGAAAAUCACGAACCGGCAUUAGCAUACGCUUAAUGCCUGUCGCCUCCCGAAUGUCUGAAUAGGGAGUGUCGGCAUCAUACUUCAGGCUUACCUAAUACCUCGACCGGGUCUUAGGAAAAAUGCAUCGGUCAAAGCCUUUUAGUUUUUUGCUCGGUUUGAGCUAAAAGGAUUAAACAAUCGAGCUAAGCUUGUAGGCGCUUUUGUAUGACACCCCCGGACGGCGGUUCGAUUCCGCCCAUCUCCACAA